CAGAGACCUGAUUGUUUCUCUGCAAAAAACCAAUAAUCAACUGUUUUUCUUAUUCUCAUUCCCUAACAAUCAGCCUCUCUCUCUGUGUUUCAAUACACAACAAAGCACAGCUUUCAAUUUUCUCGAUCUCUGAAAAAAUGCCUUCUCCAAUCCUCCCUGUAACUGUAAAACAAUCGCCCGAACACUCCUUUCUUGACCCAUCUCCUUCCCUAUCCCCACCCACCUCCGCAAACUCCAUAAUGUUACUAAAACAAGAGAUUCUUGAUGACCCAACAGCCAGGCUUUUGAUUUCUUCUCCUUUUGAUGAAGAAACUGCUGUUUCCACUAAGCCUCUUUUGUCCCGGUCUUCUAGUUUUGUAGGUA
This 363-nucleotide unclassified non-coding RNA is filed under the name Hevea brasiliensis (rubber tree). Lineage: Eukaryota; Viridiplantae; Streptophyta; Magnoliopsida; Malpighiales; Euphorbiaceae. The record is from RNAcentral.